This 612-nucleotide ribosomal RNA is filed under the name uncultured bacterium. Its description in RNAcentral is "bacterial SSU rRNA". The stretch from base 1 to 538 matches the Rfam family "Bacterial small subunit ribosomal RNA", at positions 338 to 873 of the family's 1533-position model. The record is from RNAcentral.
CCUACGGGAGGCAGCAGUGGGGAAUAUUGGACAAUGGGCGAAAGCCUGAUCCAGCAAUUCCGCGUGUGUGAAGAAGGCCUUCGGGUUGUAAAGCACUUUAGUGGGGGAAGAAACAGCUUGGCCACACCAAGCCUUGACGGUACCCCAAGAAUAAGCACCGGCUAACUCUGUGCCAGCAGCCGCGGUAAUACAGAGGGUGCAAGCGUUAAUCGGAUUUACUGGGCGUAAAGGGUGCGUAGGUGGCUACUUAAGUCGGAUGUGAAAGCCCGGGGCUCAACCUCGGAAUUGCAUUCGAUACUGAGUGGCUAGAGUUCGGUAGAGGGCGGCGGAAUUUCCGGUGUAGCGGUGAAAUGCGUAGAUAUCGGAAGGAACAUCAAUGGCGAAGGCAGCCGCCUGGGCCUGGACUGACACUGAGGCACGAAAGCGUGGGUAGCAAACAGGAUUAGAUACCCUGGUAGUCCACGCCGUAAACGAUGAGAACUUGACGUUGGUUCGUUUUACGAAUCGGUGUCGCAGCUAACGCGAUAAGUUCUCCGCCUGGGGAGGUACGGCGCGAGUAGAAGUAAAUAGUAGUUAGAGCGUUGAGAGNGCGAGGCGACGACGAGGAGGAGG